CAACUUAUUCAAAGUGACUUCUCUGUUCACUUUGAUGAUGGUGCAUGUAAAGUUUUUGACAAAAAGAAAAAUAUUUGUGUGGCAAAUAUUGAAAUGAAGAACAAGACAUUUCCUCUUAUGAUGCCACUAAAUGAGAAUUGUGCACUCAAGGCAAGAGACGAAGAUUUGGCGUAUUUGUGGCAUUUACGAUAUGGUCAUCUUCAUGAAAG
Molecule: long non-coding RNA, 209 nt
Filed under: Olea europaea (common olive)
Lineage: Eukaryota; Viridiplantae; Streptophyta; Magnoliopsida; Lamiales; Oleaceae
Description: long non-coding RNA (OEUR_LNC000192)
Source: RNAcentral